Molecule: microRNA, 21 nt
Filed under: Monodelphis domestica (gray short-tailed opossum)
Lineage: Eukaryota; Metazoa; Chordata; Mammalia; Didelphimorphia; Didelphidae
Description: mdo-miR-12387-3p
Source: miRBase by way of RNAcentral
UGACCCUACUUCUCCGCCCAG